Molecule: small nuclear RNA, 103 nt
Filed under: Mustela putorius furo (domestic ferret)
Lineage: Eukaryota; Metazoa; Chordata; Mammalia; Carnivora; Mustelidae
Source: RNAcentral
GUGCUUAUUUCAACACACAUACUAAAAUUGGAACAGUACAGGGAAGGUUAGCAUGGUCCCUGUGUAGGAUGACAUUUGUGUUUGUGAAGUGUUUGAUAUUUUA